RNAcentral lists this ribosomal RNA (439 nucleotides) under uncultured bacterium. Its description in RNAcentral is "partial 16S ribosomal RNA". It matches the Rfam family "Bacterial small subunit ribosomal RNA", at positions 339 to 795 of the family's 1533-position model. The record is from RNAcentral.
CUACGGGAUGCUCCAGUGAGGAAUAUUGCACAAUGGGGGGAACCCUGAUGCAGCAACGCCGCGUGGAGGAUGACGCAUUUCGGUGUGUAAACUCCUUUUAUAUGUCAAGAAAAUGACGGUAGCAUAUGAAUAAGCACCGGCUAACUCCGUGCCAGCAGCCGCGGUAAUACGGAGGGUGCAAGCGUUACUCGGAAUCACUGGGCGUAAAGGGCGCGUAGGCGGGCUUGUAAGUCAGGUGUGAAAUCCUACAGCUUAACUGUAGAACUGCACUUGAAACUACGAGCCUAGAGUAUGGGAGGGGCAGAUGGAAUUAGUGGUGUAGGGGUAACAUCCGUAGAUAUCACUAGGAAUACCUAAAGCGAAGGCGAUCUGCUGGAACAUAACUGACGCUAAGGCGUGAAAGCGUGGGGAGCAAACAGGAUUAGAUACCCCCGUAGUC